UAUCUGGCAGUCGUGGACAACGGUACAAGAUCAGGCGGUUAUAAUACAAUUGAAGAGAGAAUGGGCGAGAUCACCAUCUUCAUCCGAAACGUGGACGACGACGAAUACGCCAUAACAGUGAAACAGAACGACACCAUUGCUACCGUCAAAGACAGAAUAGCGACGACGUAUUCAAUAAAACAAAACACUCAGACUCUGCUCUUCAAGGGGCAACGACUCCAAAGCGAAAAAACGUUGAACUUUUACGGCAUUAAGGACGAAAACGUUAUUUUGAUGAGUGUUAAUGAUAAGGUGGAGGAACAGGGUCGUUACUGUGUUGUACAAUAAAGCUUGAACAAAAAUUUUUGAUAGAGAUAAGAAAUAUAUCUCGGAUUUUCAGUACCUGAUGAUUGUCGUGUGAAUUUUUUUUAAAUAUUAAAAUGUAAGGAAAUUA
Penaeus indicus is the source of this 433-nucleotide long non-coding RNA. RefSeq lists it as uncharacterized. The record is from RefSeq and is a predicted model, not a curated record. NCBI's taxonomy places the organism in Eukaryota, Metazoa, Arthropoda, Malacostraca, Decapoda, Penaeidae. The transcript is spliced from 2 exons.